Long non-coding RNA from Gordionus sp. m RMFG-2023, 1769 nucleotides. RefSeq lists it as uncharacterized. The transcript has 3 exons. NCBI's taxonomy places the organism in Eukaryota, Metazoa, Nematomorpha, Gordioida, Chordodea, Parachordodidae. The record is from RefSeq and is a predicted model, not a curated record.
GUUAUUUCAUAUCAUUUUCGCGCCAAAAUUUUAACUCAUAUUUCUGGUUAUCAAAUUUUGCUAAAAAUAUAAGUGCUGGAAAUUGAGCAUAAUGCCUUUUAACUAUAAAUAAUAUCUAUAAAUUGAAGCCUUCACAAAAUAUUUUCAUUCAAUCUUCUUGAUCAAUGAUAUGACUCUUAUCCCGAAGGUUAUAUAUCUGAGGCUGAUAUAGAGAGCUUAGACGAAGAAGAUAAUUAUUAUCCUUUGCUGGGAGAUGAUUUGCCCACAUCAUCUUCUAUUACGAAUGAACUAGGUCUUCAAUUGGAGGAUAUAGUAGAAGAUACAAUUAUAACUAAAAUAAAAGAUAACCCGAUUUGGUCUAAGAAUGACAUCGGACAAAUUAAUAUAGAAUUUAUCCCUAUUUUGGAAAUUCCUGAACAUGAUUCAAUAACAUAUUUUCGUAAAUUUUUGGACCACCAGAUAAUUAGUAAUUACGUAUCGGAAACAAAUAUUUAUUCAUUCCAAUGUUGUGGUAAAUAUAUAAAUACAGAUAGCGAUGAAAUUGAAAGAUUUAUUGGGAUACAUUUAUAUACUAGCUUAGUUAAGAUGCCUUCUAUAAGACAAUAUUGGUCUGUUGAAACAUCUAUUCCACAAGUAGCGGAAACUAUGUCCCGAAAUCGUUUCCUUUUGAUCCGGAAAUUUUUCCAUAUUAAUAACUAAGAUAGGGAAGAUGAGGGAUACAAUAUUAUUCAAAAUUCAACCCUUCAUAUGCCAACUAAGAAAAAAUUCAAAAAUUCAACUCGAAGAGAAGUUAGCUGUAGAAGAAUUCAUAAUUCCUUUCAAGGGCGCUCUAAAUUAUGGCAAUACAUUAUAUCGAAGCCCCAUAAAUGGAGGAUAAAAGUGUUUGCCCUAUGUGGCUCUUCUGGAUUUAUGUAUGAUUUUGAAAUAUACAAGGGAAAGUCUACUAAUACUAUAAAAUCAUAUUUAGGUAUCAGUGGAGAUAUCGUACUUCGCCUGUCUGAAAUAAUACCAUCAAAUAAAAACCAUAAAUUAUAGGAUAAUUUUUUCUCCUCAUACCAAUUAUUUAUGAUUCUUAAAAAAAGGGAUAUUUGGUGUCCGGAACGGUAAGGUCUAAUCGAUUAUCAGGAUGCGCACUUAAAAACGAUAAGGCUUUAAAAAAGGAAGGAAGAGGCGCUGUAGAUUAUAAAAGUAAAAAAAACGAUAUUAUCUGCAAAUGGCAGGACAACAAAACUGUUAUUACAAUAUCUAAUUUUAUAGGUGUUUUACCUACGACCAAAAUUAAACGAUGGUCUGUAUCGGACAAAACCUUUAUAAAUGUAGAAAUGCCCGCUAUAAUAAAAAACUAUAAUGAGGGAAUGGGUGGAGUAGAUCUUCACGAUAUGCUGGUGGAGUUAUAGGACAGAUAUUAAAUGGAAAAUAUAUUAUAUGCGAAUGGUUUUCCAUUUAUUGGAUUCUUGUGAAAUAAAUGCAUGGCUCCAGACGCCAUAUGAAAGCAAAUAAUAUCAAAUUUAUGACAUUAUUGGUAUUUAAAUCUCAAAUAGCAAAAGGGCUGAUGCUAGCAGGAAAAGUUAAUAACAAGAAGACUGGAAGACCUUCCAGUAUAGUUGUAAAGAGAAGAAAAGCCAUAAAUAUUGUCACCAUAUCGGAUAUAAGAUAUGACCAAGUAGGUCAUUUCCCAAAGCCCGUAACAAUUAAACAAAGGUGCAAGUAUUGCGUAGAUGCAUAUUCAAGAAUUAUGUGUCAAAAGUGUAAUAUUUAUUUAUGUAUAA